GACGAACGCUGGCGGCGUGCUUAACACAUGCAAGUCGAACGAUGACGACCGAGCUUGCUCGGUCUGAUUAGUGGCGAACGGGUGAGUAACACGUGAGCAACCUGCCCUUCACUCUGGGAUAACCUCGGGAAAUCGGGGCUAAUACCGGAUAUGAGCUCCUGUCGCAUGGCGGGUGUUGGAAAGUUUUUCGGUGAAGGAUGGGCUCGCGGCCUAUCAGUUUGUUGGUGAGGUAGUGGCUCACCAAGGCGAUGACGGGUAGCCGGCCUGAGAGGGCGACCGGCCACACUGGGACUGAGACACGGCCCAGACUCCUACGGGGGGCAGCAGUGGGGAAUAUUGCACAAUGGGCGAAAGCCUGAUGCAGCGACGCCGCGUGAGGGAUGACGGCCUUCGGGUUGUAAACCUCUUUCAGCAGGGAAGAAGCGAAAGUGACGGUACCUGCAGAAGAAGCGCCGGCUAACUACGUG
RNAcentral lists this ribosomal RNA (467 nucleotides) under uncultured bacterium. Its description in RNAcentral is "partial 16S ribosomal RNA". It matches the Rfam family "Bacterial small subunit ribosomal RNA", at positions 28 to 507 of the family's 1533-position model. The record is from RNAcentral.